CUCUGCUUGGGUGAGCUAUUUCAAGCAGCUGGGAUACCUGUGUCACUCCUGCUGUCUGCCAGUGACUGCCCAGGUGUCUGCUGGUUCCUCCCCAGGAGUAGGGAGGAACCAGGUGGGCUGGCUGGGAUGGGUGGAUAUUUAAAGACCAGGCCUUGGACGCUGCAGCACUUCUAUCUCUGCUUGAUGCCUGCUGCCACGUGGCUGGUCCUCCUCCUCCUGCUGUGGCUGAGCCUUGGGGUGAAGACAGGCAGCUGCUCCCAACCCCAGAACCUUUGCUGUCUUGGGACGGAUCACCGCUGCAAGAGGGGAAGUUGCUACUGUGAUGAAUUCUGCCAUGUGGCACCAGACUGCCACCCAGACCACAGUGUCCUCUGCAACCCUGCUUCUCAGAUGACCAAGAUGGUGCUGCAGAUGGUGCUGAGGAUGGAGAACCCACCAAGCCCCGCUAGGAGCCACCUAGACUGGAUGCAGAGCAUGGUGAGCUCCCUGCAGGUUCUCUGAGAAGGGGUGGAUGGCAGCCUGCUCCUUGCCUUUGUGCCCUCCAGGCCCCAAAGUCAGGGAACCAAAAGAAGAAAGGGGCCGUAGCUAGGGCAGAGCUCCACUGCAAUGAUUGUUUUAGGGGUAGGAGCCAGGAUUGCCGUCUGUGGACACUGAAAUUUGAAUCUCAUAUACUUUUGUGACAAAACAUUCUUCCUCUUUUGUUCUUCUCCUACCAUCUAAAAAUGUAGAAAACAUUCUUAGCCUAUGAGUUGCA
This 754-nucleotide long non-coding RNA is filed under the name Homo sapiens (human). Its description in RNAcentral is "non-protein coding lnc-MUC20-67:80". The record is from RNAcentral. Lineage: Eukaryota; Metazoa; Chordata; Mammalia; Primates; Hominidae.